Molecule: long non-coding RNA, 1443 nt
Filed under: Salmo trutta (river trout)
Lineage: Eukaryota; Metazoa; Chordata; Actinopteri; Salmoniformes; Salmonidae
Description: lncRNA (ENSSTUG00000022371.1)
Source: RNAcentral
GACCAGGACAGCCUGAACCAAGAGCUGGCUCGCAGGAUCCGCCUCAUAUCCCACAGCUGGGUCACUUCCGCAGCCACUACCACCCAUACCACCAGGACGGGGACGAUCAUGUCCGCCAAGCAGAGACUCGACGAUGACUCUUUGUCCUCCUGGAAGCCAGAGGUUGGGUCGGCGGUGCGGCUGCUGUUUGACCAGCGCUGCAGCGUGGAGAGGCUGGCAUCCUGGUUCAUGCAGACCACUGAGACUCAGUCUCUGGGCAUUGUGAAGAAGACCAGCUCCCGAAACCCCUAUGAGCUCCUUCACUACCCCCGGACCGCCAGCAGGGGGAGCGCCUUUCCCAGCCCGCAGACCAUGCGACUACGCAAACACAUCAAGAAGUUUGCCAAAGCUGUGCCGAAGAGCCCCGCCCAGCUCCGUCUAGCCCAGGAACGGCUCCGACGUGGAAAAGAGCUGAAUGCCAGGCGGCGUCUGUUCACUGCGAGGCCGGCGUCAGGCGGGCUGCGUCUCAGAGCUCCAUGGAGGAAGGUCAGGGCCCUCGGGACGUACAGAACCACUCUGCUCAGAGUCAGAGAAAAGUUCCUUACCUGGACCCUCAGAGCCAAGCAGCCCAACAGGCUGAGGUACAACCAGGCGAUCUGGAGGAGAAGCCUGGUGGAGGUAGGAAAUUCACCUGACCAGGUCUGCCCUUCUGCUCAGCCCAGGGAGGAGCUCACCUCUUCUCCACAUCACCACUGUCUACCUGCCUCCUCAGAGACCAGUCAGCCCUGCAGCCCCGACCAGCUGACAGGCCUCACCAAACAGCAGCGUCUCAGCUCUAAAGCCUGGAGUCCAGAGACUCUGAAGGAGUGUUGCGUGUUCCUCAAGAAGAUCAACUCCCCCGACACAGAGUCCACCGUUGAGGAGGAGUGGGACGUCUGCACCGUCAAUCUAGACGACACAUACUGCCCCGACGAGACCAGACAGGAGGAGAGGAGGGAAGAGUACGACAAAGCUGUGAAAACUGAGAGAAGGAAGAGGAGAGUUCCCUGGAAGGAGUCUAGCAGCUCGCCGCAGGAGGUGAUGGUUCAGGAGCACAACCGGGUCCGAGCCGGGAACAGGUGCGGCAAACAGAAAAAUUCAGGGAAAGCCACGAGCCAAUCACCGACCCCGCCGCCAACGAAAGCAACGAGCCAAUCACCGACCCCGCCUCCAACGAAAGCCAUGAGCCAAUCACCGACCCCGCCGCCAACGAAAGCCACGAGCCAAUCACCGACCCCGCCGCCAACGAAAGCCACGAGCCAAUCACCGACCCCGCCAACGAAAGCCACGAGCCAAUCACCGACCCCGCCUCCAACGAAAGCCACGAGCCAAUCACCGACCCCGCCGCCAACGAAAGUCAUGAGAAAAUCGCGUGGGAGGGGCCUGACCGGGCCGCGGUGGCGUGACUUUAUACUGGGAACCUGA